UCGAGAGGACAUUUCUCUAGUAUGAGAGGAUUGUGAAGGGCGCACCUCUGGUGUACCAGUUAUAAUGUCCACGGUAAACGCUGGGUAGUAAAGUGUGGAAUGCAUAAUUGUUGAAAGCAUCUAAGUAAUAAAACCAUUCAAAAAUGA
RNAcentral lists this non-coding RNA (147 nucleotides) under Daucus carota subsp. sativus. RNAcentral's name for it is "Bacterial large subunit ribosomal RNA". It matches the Rfam family "Bacterial large subunit ribosomal RNA", at positions 2662 to 2808 of the family's 2925-position model. The record is from Rfam by way of RNAcentral. Lineage: Eukaryota; Viridiplantae; Streptophyta; Magnoliopsida; Apiales; Apiaceae.